This 159-nucleotide ribosomal RNA is filed under the name Porpidia albocaerulescens. RNAcentral's name for it is "5.8S ribosomal RNA". It matches the Rfam family "5.8S ribosomal RNA". Rfam says of the family: 5.8S ribosomal RNA (5.8S rRNA) is a component of the large subunit of the eukaryotic ribosome. The record is from RNAcentral. Lineage: Eukaryota; Fungi; Ascomycota; Lecanoromycetes; Lecideales; Lecideaceae.
AAAACUUUCAACAACGGAUCUCUUGGUUCUGGCAUCGAUGAAGAACGCAGCGAAAUGCGAUAAGUAAUGUGAAUUGCAGAAUUCAGUGAAUCAUCGAAUCUUUGAACGCACAUUGCGCCCCUUGGUAUUYCGAGGGGCAUGCCUGUUCGAGCGUCAUUG